This 254-nucleotide ribosomal RNA is filed under the name uncultured bacterium. RNAcentral's name for it is "partial 16S ribosomal RNA". It matches the Rfam family "Bacterial small subunit ribosomal RNA", at positions 524 to 776 of the family's 1533-position model. The record is from RNAcentral.
UACGAAGGGUGCAAGCGUUACUCGGAAUUACUGGGCGUAAAGCGUGCGUAGGUGGUGAGUUAAGUCUGUCGUGAAAGCCCCGGGCUCAACCUGGGAAUGGCGAUGGAUACUGGCUCGCUAGAGUGCGGUAGAGGAGAGUGGAAUUCCCGGUGUAGCAGUGAAAUGCGUAGAGAUCGGGAGGAACAUCAGUUGCGGAAGGCGGCUCUCUGGACCAGCACUGACACUGAGGCACGAAAGCGUGGGGAGCAAACAGG